RNAcentral lists this ribosomal RNA (434 nucleotides) under uncultured Clostridium sp. Its description in RNAcentral is "partial 16S ribosomal RNA". It matches the Rfam family "Bacterial small subunit ribosomal RNA", at positions 341 to 792 of the family's 1533-position model. The record is from RNAcentral. Lineage: Bacteria; Bacillati; Bacillota; Clostridia; Eubacteriales; Clostridiaceae.
ACGGAAGGCAGCAGUGGGGAAUAUUGGACAAUGGGGGAAACCCUGAUCCAGCGACGCCGCGUGAGUGAAGAAGUAUUUCGGUAUGUAAAGCUCUAUCAGCAGGGAAGAUAAUGACGGUACCUGACUAAGAAGCCCCGGCUAACUACGUGCCAGCAGCCGCGGUAAUACGUAGGGGGCAAGCGUUAUCCGGAUUUACUGGGUGUAAAGGGAGCGUAGACGGCAUGGCAAGUCUGAUGUGAAAACCCGGGGCUCAACCCCGGGACUGCAUUGGAAACUGUCAGGCUAGAGUGCAGGAGAGGUAAGUGGAAUUCCUAGUGUAGCGGUGAAAUGCGUAGAUAUUAGGAGGAACACCAGUGGCGAAGGCGGCUUGCUGGACUGUAACUGACGUUGAGGCUCGAAAGCGUGGGGAGCAAACAGGAUUAGAUACCCUGGUA